AAUACAUGCAAGUCGAACGAACUUCCGUUAAUUGAUUAUGACGUACUUGUACUGAUUGAGAUUUUAACACGAAGUGAGUGGCGAACGGGUGAGUAACACGUGGGUAACCUGCCCAGAAGUAGGGGAUAACACCUGGAAACAGAUGCUAAUACCGUAUAACAGAGAAAACCGCAUGGUUUUCUUUUAAAAGAUGGCUCUGCUAUCACUUCUGGAUGGACCCGCGGCGUAUUAGCUAGUUGGUGAGGUAAAGGCUCACCAAGGCAGUGAUACGUAGCCGACCUGAGAGGGUAAUCGGCCACAUUGGGACUGAGACACGGCCCAGACUCCUACGGGAGGCAGCAGUAGGGAAUCUUCCACAAUGGACGCAAGUCUGAUGGAGCAACGCCGCGUGAGUGAAGAAGGGUUUCGGCUCGUAAAGCUCUGUUGUUAAAGAAGAACGUGGGUAAGAGUAACUGUUUACCCAGUGACGGUAUUUAACCAGAAAGCCACGGCUAACUACGUGCCAGCAGCCGCGGUAAUACGUAGGUGGCAAGCGUUAUCCGGAUUUAUUGGGCGUAAAGCGAGCGCAGGCGGUCUUUUAAGUCUAAUGUGAAAGCCUUCGGCUCAACCGAAGAAGUGCAUUGGAAACUGGGAGACUUGAGUGCAGAAGAGGACAGUGGAACUCCAUGUGUAGCGGUGAAAUGCGUAGAUAUAUGGAAGAACACCAGUGGCGAAGGCGGCUGUCUGGUCUGCAACUGACGC
This 741-nucleotide ribosomal RNA is filed under the name Pediococcus pentosaceus. Its description in RNAcentral is "bacterial SSU rRNA". It matches the Rfam family "Bacterial small subunit ribosomal RNA", at positions 50 to 746 of the family's 1533-position model. Lineage: Bacteria; Bacillati; Bacillota; Bacilli; Lactobacillales; Lactobacillaceae. The record is from RNAcentral.